RNAcentral lists this ribosomal RNA (257 nucleotides) under uncultured bacterium. Its description in RNAcentral is "partial 16S ribosomal RNA". It matches the Rfam family "Bacterial small subunit ribosomal RNA", at positions 524 to 776 of the family's 1533-position model. The record is from RNAcentral.
UACGGAGGGUGCGAGCGUUGUUCGGAAUCACUGGGCGUAAAGCGCGUGUAGGCGGCCCACUAAGUCUGAUGUGAAAGCCCGGGGCUCACCCCCGGAAGUGCAUUGGAAACUGGUGGACUCGAGUCCCGGAGAGGAGAGUGGAAUUCCUGGUGUAGCGGUGAAAUGCGGUAGAUAUCAGGAGGAACACCGGUGGCGAAGGCGGCUCUCGUGGACGGUGACUGACGGCUGAGACGGCGAAAGCGUGGGGAGCAAACAGG